This 25-nucleotide unclassified non-coding RNA is filed under the name Mus musculus (house mouse). Its description in RNAcentral is "oocyte_clustered_small_RNA10601". The record is from RNAcentral. Lineage: Eukaryota; Metazoa; Chordata; Mammalia; Rodentia; Muridae.
UUCAGCCAAUCAGGGCGGCAGGGGU